This 422-nucleotide ribosomal RNA is filed under the name uncultured cyanobacterium. RNAcentral describes it as "bacterial SSU rRNA". It matches the Rfam family "Bacterial small subunit ribosomal RNA", at positions 359 to 795 of the family's 1533-position model. Lineage: Bacteria; Bacillati; Cyanobacteriota. The record is from RNAcentral.
GAAUUUUCCGCAAUGGGCGAAAGCCUGACGGAGCAAUACCGCGUGAGGGAUGACGGCCUAUGGGUUGUAAACCUCUUUUUUCAGGGAGGAAUCAAUGACGUGUACCUGAAGAAUAAGCAUCGGCUAACUCCGUGCCAGCAGCCGCGGUAAGACGGAGGAUGCAAGUGUUAUCCGGAAUCACUGGGCGUAAAGCGUCUGUAGGUGGUCAAAUAAGUCAACUGUUAAAUCUUGAGGCUCAACCUCAAAAUCGCAGUCGAAACUAUUCGACUAGAGUAUAGUAGGGGUAAAGGGAAUUUCCAGUGGAGCGGUGAAAUGCGUAGAGAUUGGAAGGAACACCGAUGGCGAAGGCACUUUACUGGGCUAUUACUAACACUCAGAGACGAAAGCUAGGGUAGCAAAUGGGAUUAGAUACCCCAGUAGUC